Molecule: ribosomal RNA, 429 nt
Filed under: Actinomycetes bacterium
Lineage: Bacteria; Bacillati; Actinomycetota; Actinomycetes
Description: Actinobacteria bacterium partial 16S ribosomal RNA
Rfam family: Bacterial small subunit ribosomal RNA
Source: RNAcentral
UAGGGAAUCUUCCGCAAUGGGCGAAAGCCUGACGGAGCAACGCCGCGUGAGUGAUGAAGGUCUUCGGAUCGUAAAACUCUGUUAUUAGGGAAGAACAAAUGUGUAUGUAACUAUGCAUGUCUUGACGGUACCUAAUCAGAAAGCCCCGGCUAACUACGUGCCAGCAGCCGCGGUAAUACGUAGGUGGCAAGCGUUAUCCGGAAUUAUUGGGCGUAAAGCGCGCGUAGGCGGUUUUAUAAGUCUGAUGUGAAAGCCCACGGCUCAACCGUGGAGGGUCAUUGGAAACUGGAAGACUUGAGUGCAGAAGAAGAAAGUGGAAUUCCAUGUGUAGCGGUGAAAUGCGGAGAGAUAUGGAGGAACACCAGUGGCGAAGGCGACUUUCUGGUCUGUAACUGACGCUAAUGUGCGAAAGCGUGGGGAUCAAACAGG